AUUGUAAGAACGAGACACAUAAAAUAUUAUGGCAGAAGAUUGAUAAAGUAUCAUAUCUUUAUGUAAGACAUUAUGCAUCGUGUCCUAUACGCUUCGGGUAUAGGAUUGAUUGCCAGUGCUAUUAUAUUUGACCAUUCUAAAAUUUUCCAAAUGUCUAGCGCAUUUAGAGGGAAAAAGGACUAGAAUUGGUUUUGACUAAGAUAAUUAAACAACUAUCAAAGGACGAUCCAAAGCUCGCUGAGGAUUGGUCGCUUGUGAGUAGUUGGAAGUAUGGUAUUGGAUGGACCAUAUCGACAUUAUUAUGAAUAGAUAAGAUUCUAUUAAGAAUGAGUUGUCAUAUGGCAAAUAUGGAAAUGUUUCCAUAUUGGGAGUUGGAUAUUGAGAAUCUAUAUCUAGAUUAGAAACUAUUAUGCAAGAAGGAUGUUCAAAGGAAUGUACUUUGAGUGAGAGACAUCAUAUCUAUAGAAUUGUUUCUAAUAGAGAUUAGCCAAGUCUUGAUGAUUUUGAGCUAUGACCUUAUGAAAGAAUCAUUGCAUAAAAUGUUAGAAUCUAUCAUAAGUAAAAAGAAUUUGAUAUUCUUAUACUUAUGAUAAGGAUUGGGAGUUGUGAAAUGAGUAUGGUUAGAAAUGUGUUCAUUUGAUCUAUUUCACAAAGUAAGGACCGUAGGUAAACAUUGUGUGCAUGCUAAGAGCAUGGGACAAUUGUUGUUAUAAUUCAACUAAGAUGUUGAUUCCCCAAAACAACAAAUAAUGAGUAAUCAAUAUGGUAAUUAAAUAAAUUGUUUUAUUUAUACCUAAAGUUUGGGGCCAUAUGGGAUUAGUAUUAUUCUUGUGUUUCACUUUGCAUGUUUUGACUUCCUGAAUAGUUAAAAUUGAUUUAGAACAAUCAUAUUAUUCAAACAGACCACAGUCGUUCAUAUGUUGGAAGUAGGUAUGAAUGAAGACUGUCGUGAAUUGAUGUGUGGAUUGUCUAAAGUGUAUUAGACAUAAGCAAAUGUUUGUUGCAAUGUUCAUGAGUGCUUAUGAAUAUGAUUUGAGCAUUGGAUUAAACCCACGCUUACUUGGAUCACUUCAUGGAUUUUAUCACGAGUGAUUGGUGAGACGAUAAUAUCUUAUAUUCUUGAAACCAAGAUGUGCGAGUUGUAUCUUGCGAGUCGGUUACACAUUGAUAAUAUGUAAAAGCACCAGUAAGUUGGUGUCAUAAAACAUAUUGUUCUGUAUGAUUCGGUGAGUGAGUGCAAGCAAGCAUUGAAUCAAUGUUUAUCUGUUCCUUUUAUCCAGAGUAAGAUGAAAGCGAUAUCUGUGGGCCCCUCGAUGAUUUAGUGAUGACACGUAAGCGCUUGGCCAAGCCGGGACUAAUUUCAUGUGUUCAAUUGUAGUCUGUUGUCAGUCGUCAUAAAUCGGAAAUCGAGAAACAACACAUAUACAGAGAGAAUGAUUUAAAUCCAUGUCUCAGUCUAUACGAUAUCUAGAAUGGAGGAAUAUAUUAUCCCUUAUCUAAAGGACGCGUAUCUGAUGAGAUCAUAGUUGACGGCGGCUUUUGAAAUCUACAAUUGCAGAUCAGGAUUUGAAGUCAUACGCAAAAUAGUUAUUAGAGUUAUCCAAGUGGGAGAUUGUUGGAUUAGUGCCUUCACCAAAGCAACUUGAUAGGAUGAAUUAUGGAGAGAAAGGAUUAAUUAUGAUUUAUUAAUAUAUUAUGAGAAUAAUAUAUUAAAGGAGAAAUAAUAUUGUUUAAUUAAUAUUAGUCAAGAAUUAAUUGAUAAUUAGUUUUGUGGCUAAAAGAGAUUAAUUAAACUUAAGGGACUGGAACUGUAAUUAUAAGAUAAUUGCAUUUGGGCUAUGGAUCACCUUGGAAUAAUAGGUUGGACGAAUUCUAUGGGGAAACCCAUUAGAAAUCGUCCAAGGGAUAUUCUAAAAGGGUCCAUGGUCUGCUUAGGGCUUAAGCAGUCAAAUUAGGGUUUCCUAGUUGAAAACCCUAAUAGCCUACAUGUAUAUAUAGUACCCUUAAGCCUCAAAAACGUGGAUAAGAGUUCCUCUAGGGUUUUGGACGUUCUUGGGCAGCCUCCUCUCUCCUUGUUCUUCAUUCUCUUGCUCUUGGUGUUUGUGAGCCAUUAAAGGAGUGACACUUAUGACUCUAACCUUUCUAAAGUCAUUACAAGAAGGAUUUGAGAUUGUUAUUGCUACAUAACAAUCAAGGUAAGAUCUAAAAACCCUUUCACAUGUUAAUAUUAUUAAUUCUAUGCUAGAACUAGGGUUUAAUGUCUUUGAUGAAUUGCAUGUACAAUAGAGAAACCUAGAUCCAAGCAUUAGGGUUUGCAUGAGCACAUGAGAUGUUCUUAUGGCUAAAACCCAUCACCUACAUUAUCUAAACCAUCCUCAACACCGACACCCACUACCAUAUCAUCAACACCUAUAUCUACUACCACAACCUCAAAACCAGCAUCUACACUACCAUCCUCCACAACUACAGUAACUACCACACCCUCCUUAAGUAAAGGAACUACCACAUCCUCAACAUAUACAUCUAUCCCAACACCUACCGCAGAAUAUACCCCAUCAACAAUAGCUAUCUCAGAAUCUACCCCAUCACCAACACAACCAACCAUGAAUGGAUCUGUAGUGCAAAGUGUAGAAGGUGAAAACAAUUCCUUUGAAGAUUGUUGACCAAAUGGAUGUUUAACUAUUCAUGUUUGGAAAAAAACGUGAGUUACCAAUCAAAUCUUAAUUACAACUUUUUUCUAUGUAUAAACUUUUGGUUUACACGUACAUAUCAAUUCAUAACUUAACACAUCCCAUGAUUUCUUGCAGGCUAAUGCCACCCUUCUGCACACUUUAUUACUCAGUCCUUUAGACAAACAGUAGAUCCAGAAGGGUACGCUUAGGGAAAAGUAAGCAAAGAUAUACACGAAUUAUAUUGGGAGGAGUUUCAGGUAAUUAACUAUAUGUGAUAAAUUGUUUUAUGGUAAACAUUUACACUUGAACUUAUGUUUAUAUUGUUAAUGUGUAGAAAAAAUGUUGUUGGGAUGAAACAAUAGACUCGCUGGUGAGGCAAGCUUGGGUAAGGAAAGCGGCAGAAAGUUAUAGUCAAUAUCACUUCCACAUGCGGAGCACAAAAAGAAACAAACAUGGCUAUAAACCAGCUUAUAUUCCACAUGAAGUCCGGAACUCCUAGCAAUUAAAAUGGAAUACAGAAGAAUAGAAGCUAAAAUUUGAGCAGAACAAAAAAAAAUAGGCGCAACGUUGUGGCUCAUGGAGUAGCAAAACCUACAAAUAACGCUGGAUCCGCCAUCCAUUUGAAGAUAGCUUCUCAUUUUGUAAUUUUUUAAAUGGUACAUCAUAUCAAUGUUUAUAUAUGUUUAUAUGUAUAUUUGACAUUUUAUAUGGUACUUAUGCAGAAGUGGAAAUUAGGACGUGAUCCACCCCAUAGUGAAUUGUUUCUGUAUACACACACAAAGAAUCACGAUGGAGUGAAUUUCACAAAUGAAAAAGAUAGACAAAUUCAUGUAAUAUUCAUUUCAGUGUUAAACUUCUAUAUUGUAGCUAGUCCAUAAUAUCAUUCAUAAAUUUGAUAUCUUUUAACUUAUAUUAUUUUUAUUUUGUAGGCGGCCUAUACAGAAAAACGAGAAUACUUAGAAGCUAAAGGUCAUCAAUUUGAGGAGGACAAGCUAUUUUAUGAUGUUGUUGGUGAUCAUGAUAAAAAAGAAGACUUUAUGGAUUAGGAUCUUUUGCAAAGGCAGUUCCCUAUAGGAAACGGUAAAAUGGAUGUAUCUUACAUUCAGGAAAAAAUGAUGAAAUAGAAGUAAUGAGGGAGCUUGUUGCUAAAGAAAAACAGCAAAACGAAAGCUUAAAGAAAUGUUGAAUGUCGAACAAGAAGAAAACAACACAAGGGUCGGGAGUAUUUAUUUUUGAUUAGCAACUUUUCUUUUUCCAUGUAAUAAAUAAUUAUUGUACUAUUUUAUGAUAUAACGGUUUUGAUUUUUUUUGUUUUUUUUUCAUAUAUUACUACAAAAUAAUUUGGAUAUAAUUUAUAAAUCAAUUAUCCAUCGCUCCAUAUGAAAUCUGGUAUAUAAAAUACAACACGAAAAUUGCUUGGGAUUCAUGAUCACAAAAUUUGCUAGUAAUUCAUCAAACGGAAUUUGCUAGGGAUUCAACAAAAAGGAAUUUGCUACGGAAUCACCUCCAAGGAAUUUGCUAUGGAAUGACCACCAUAGAAUUUACUAGGGAAUGACCACCAUGGAAUUUGCUAGGGAUUUACUACCAUAGAAUUUGCUAGGGAAUGACCACCACGGAAUUUACUAGGGAAUCACCACCACGGAAUUUACUAGGGAAUGACUACCAGUGAAUCUACUAGGGAUUCACCACCAUGGAAGUUGCUAGGGAAUCACCACCACGGAAUUAGUGAUGGAAUAACUACCAUGGAUUGUGUAAUGGAAUCCUACUACGGAAUACACGACGGAAUACCAUCUACCACAUAUUUCAUUCCCUUGUCACAAUUGUGACCGAAGUAUUGUUUCCGUUGCAAACCCUCGCUACGGCGUUUUUAGGGACGAAAAUGGGCCGUUGCAAAUUCCAUAGCAAAUCAUCUUUCGCAACGGAAUUUCAGCUUUUCGCAACGGAUUCCUUCCAUAGCAAAAUCAUGUUUUUCUUGUAGUGGAUCUCUCCGGAUUUGUUCAGCAAACUUUACGGCUCUCCAGUAUUGUUUCCUUUGAAGAGUAGUAGGGGAGCGAUGGGGUGAAUUCAUGGCAUUGACCAUUCCAAAAUUUUAAAUUGUGGAGGAGUUUCUAGGAAAGGGGAUGGAUGUUGAGCUUCUUGAUGCGGUGAGUGUUGUUGUUCCGGUGGGGAAUGAUGAGAUUGAACUAGAGUUGGAGGCUUGUUUAGAACCAUAGUUGGAGGAGUUUGUUGGUUAAGUUGAGAAUGAACUAUAGUUGUUUGUUGCAGAGAGGGUUGCAGUGUUGGUUGUUGAGCUUCAAUUCUUUGUUGAGAUGGCUGAGAUGUGCCAAAAGGAGAUGGACCAAAAAUUUGGUAUAGGGAUUGUUGUUGCAGAUUGAUGGUUCUAUGGAUUCGAGUGUUCACUUCCCCCUUUUGAGGAAGUAACAACUUGUUGCUCAUCAAGCCAUUGUCUGAGGCCAUCAAUCUUAGAGAAAGUUUGAUCAAAUAAGAUAUUUGAGCGUUGGAGGGGACAUCAGUGUUGAACAAUAGGUUAUAAGAAUUGGCAGGCUAUUGAUUGUUGAUUGAAUGUAUCAGGCUAUUGGAGGGGACAUCGUCAACACUAGAGUUAUUCGUGUGAGAAUGUAUCAGGCUAUUGAUUGUUGAUUGAAGUACAGACAGGGUGGAUUCAUACGCAUUGUGUGUUUCUUGGACUAGGUUCUGAGAAUUGGCAGCUUGGCAAUCAAGAGUGGACAUGAUCUCUUCUUUGAUUGCUGGAACCUCUUGAAUAAGAGUUUCAGUAGUUGACAUGAAUUGUUUGUGAUCCGUAGUUCGAGUGUUGUCUAGGGCUCGAAUACCCAUCUCAACCUUAAGUAAGAUUCUUCCAAGAGCCAUACGUUUUCUGGCUUCUAAUCUUUCAACCCGCUCUAUUAGGGACUAGCAUCCAGGAACAUCUUACGAUUGCAGUUGAGAAGUCGUGAAUGCGGCCUGAAUCUGAUCGACCUUUGACUGCAGGGAGAUAAAUCUUUUUCGGGAUACUGCCAACUUCUUCUUUUUGUUCUUCUCCUUUGGCUUUGAAGUGGAGUGUUAAGAUCCACUUGACUCUUCUUCUUCAUCAAAGAUCAUGACAAAAUCAUCUGUAUGAGUAGGCUGAUCGAUUUCUUCAACAUCAAGAUCAUCAAGUCCAAGCAUCAGACUUGAACUGAUCUCUAUUGUGGUUUCAUUAGCAUUGGAGUCAUGAUUCCUAAUAGUUGGAGGCUGAGAUGGACUAUCACCACCAUGUAGUGUUUGAGCUUGUUGCACCUUUGCUUCCAUUCUCGACAUCCAAUCUUGAAUCUUGAGAAGGUCAUGAGCAGUCUUGGUGUUGUCGAUAGCAUCUGCCCAGUAUUUGGCCACAGUCUGAAUUUCAUAUUCCUUAUGCUGUUUUUGUUUUGUUUGUUGAGCCUUGCAUGCUCGAAAUACCCGACGUAGAGCUUCAUACUUCCUGAUCUUAGAUUCAGUACUUGGCUAAAAUCGAGUUCAGGAAUCAUUUGUACAAUAACCGUCAAAUCAUUUUGUACGCACUGGGGUGUCCCCCAAGUUCAUGGAUCCUAGCACGAUAGUGCUCACCAUGCCAAAACCACUUGAUUGUAAUGGUGGCAGAGUAGGAUUUCCCAAACUUCCAUGGUCUCCUUGACCUAUAGUCAAGUGUGGCCUCGUUUCGAUUAUGGCAAGAGCAUAAGAAUUGCCCUGUAGUUGGUUAUGUGUUUGAAGUGUAUAGGUGACAGUAAGAAGGAUGGAGCGCAACUCCUCUGGCUCAAAGUAGUGAAGGUGACUUGCCCUGGAGACCUUAGGCCGAUUUGUACCACUGGGAUCCUCUUGGGAUCCAACUGGGGUGUCAUCUCCGUGUUCAAUUGAAAUAGAUGCACUUGAUGCAUCUGAGUAGCUAGAGAUGGUAGAUGUGAAUAAGCCUGCAGGGACUCCAAGGACUACCGGAGUCUUUUGAGAGACUGUGGUAUCUGUCCGGUCACACAUUUGGCUAUGGCAGGGGGUAAGCUUCAUCUUCUUGCGUCUAAAGAGAUCAUGAGAUUCAUCACUUGUGGAUUCAUCAACAUAUACAAGUUCACCAUGAUUUCCAAAUUGAGAAGGAGGGGAGACAGCGGAGGAUUCUAGAACCAUAUGUUUGCAUUUCUUAGAAGGUUGUUCACCCUUCCUGGCUAUAUUACAGGGAGCCUUCUUAGAGAAGACUAUUUUCUUGACACGCUUGGGCUUUGGUUGACUAGAGGGUCCUUCAGUAGGAGGGACUGAGGUUGUAGGAGGAACUGCAGUUGAAGGAGGAACUGCAGUACUUGAGGGACCUUGGGAUUUGGAAGGAACAACAAUAGCCUGACUGGGAUGAGGUGGGGAGGAAUGGUAUGGGUCAAUACUAUCUGUAGCCUCAAUAUAGUCGGUGACUUCUCAAGUUUCAAGUCCAAUGGCCUUGAGAAUGUGGCCAGGUAAUCUCCUAAGAGGUUCAAAAACUUAAUGAUCUUUGGAGAGUGUGUACCUUUUUAAAUCACGUGUAGCAUAGAGACUAACUUCGGUACCCAUGUCAAGGUUUGCAUCUUUGUGAAGAUCCAAGAUGCAGAGGGACCAGAAGCGUGCAAAUGUGAGUUCAGUUGGAUCUUCUCGAGGGUUCUCCUUGAGGACAUAUUGAAGGACGUCAUCCCAAAGAAUUUGUCCUUAGUUAUCUAGGUUUCCUGUAAAGAUGCUUCAUACCAUUUCGAGCAGUAUGAGUCCCAUGUUAUCUAUGCCUCCAGUUCUACCAGAGAGACUCCAGAUGACAUAGUGACAAACGUAUUCCUAUACCGUAGGGAGUUGGUUUCUCUUGAAUUCUCCAAUUCCUUUUAGAUUCUUUUGAUACUAUGACAACCCGAGAAUUCCUAUCCUGUACAAUCAAACACUUCAUUGAAAGUGAAACUUACUCCUGCUAACUUUUAGCAUAAUUUAGAGUCCAUUUCAGCAUCCUGAUCUUUAGUACAUCAAAGGAUCAAAAUCUAGAAUGGGUCAACUAGGGUUCCAAACCACCAAUCAAGCUUUAAAACCUCAAAUGAGGAGUUUACGGCCAUGAGACCAUGAGUUUACGGCCGUAAACUCAUGGGGCUGUAAACUCCAUGCCUAUAUAAGAAAAACAUAGCCAUUUUUUAUUCAUUCUUGCCAUUUCAUGCCUAGAACUCGGUUUUGCUCUCAAGUAUCAUCCAUAUUCCAUCCUUUGAUUAUCAAAGGUAUAACUAUUCUAUCCCUUGAUUAGUUGAUACACCUUAUUAACUAGCUUCAUUCAUUGAUUUCAUCCUCGAAAAUCAUGUUGGUCUAGAUCUUCAAGAAACACCAAGAACACACACUAGUGUUCUUGGACCUUAAACACCCAUUCAAGCUCCUUUAUAGUAAGUAUUCUUACCCUACAGUGUUAUAAGGCUUGUUUCACUUCUUAUUCAACUAGAAAACACAAUGAAGCACAAGAUCAAUGGUGUUUACGGCCAAUACAUAUUAUUGAGCCGUAAACCCAAAUAGAUGGGGCAGAGUGAGUCCCAGUACCUUCCUUAGCCUUGGAUACUAGUCUAUAUCACUUCCUUGAAGUGUUUAGGACCUUAAACAUCAAAAAGAUCAAGAACACAUAGAGUUUACGGCCAUAAAAUCAUAGAGAAAUGGUCGAUGGGCCGUAAACUAUAUAAAGUGGUGCCAUUGUUCCACUAAUGCUUCCUAAGGCUUAGACUUGAAGUAAGGAUACUUCUUUAUGACUUAUAAGACCUCAAAACACAAAAUGAUACUUAAUACCAUGAGUUUACGACCGUAAACUCAUGGGGAAAUGACCAUGGGCCAUAAACUCAUGAGUUGUUACCAUUUGGACCAUAAACUCCUUUGAGAGACCCUACACCCCUUAGAUUAAUUAGUUGUUAAUUCACUAAUUGGAUACAUAUAUGUGUGAAUAUAUGUUAAAUAGGAUCCGUGUGUGUGCUCAACUCUUCACUUGACACUUAGCAUCCUAUACCAGCCGUUCAUCCAAACCACCCACUACAAGUGAGUUCAUACCCCCUUAAUUAACCUUUUAAAUGUUUUUAAUUGCUUUUAUGGGGAGGGGGGAAUACAAGUUGAAUCACGAUAGGUAUAUUAUUAAUCACAUGGGAAUACAAGUUGAAUCAUGAUAGGUAUUAUUGUUGGGUUUUGAGCAUUCUAACACUUCCUAAGUGUACAUGCAACCCUAAAUACCUUGGAUCUAUGUUUUCUCUAUUAUACAUGCAAAUAAGAACAUCCAAGGUAUUAUCCUAAUCUCGCAUACAAAAACUAUGAAUGUAACAAGAUAGAAUACAUACCUCUUGAUGUAGCUUGAUGUCUUCAAGCUUUAAGAGCUUAGCCCCAAUAGUGUGGAAGCCUCAAGUGGAAUCACAAAUCACCAAGACACCUUGGAAUACUUUAGAGAAUAUGAUUACUUGGUUCUCUCUAGUGAAAUUGGCUAGCCCUUCUUUAGUGUAUCCACACUAGUGCCAAUUUCACCAACCAAAGACAUCUUUAUAUAGUAUGGAGGAUUAGGGUUAAACCCUAAUACCCAUGACCUUUCAUUUCCUAGGAUCCAUGGGUUAAACACUCCAUGGACUAUCCAUGAAAGCUUAGCCCAACCUAAAUGAACUUGGCCCAUUCCAUAUAUAUAAGAGUCCAUAUUUAAUUAGUUCCUUUUGAUCACUUAAUUAAUUAUAAAUUAAUUCUUGAUCAAUACUAAUUAAAUAAUAUGAUUCCAUAUUAAUAUAUUAGAACUUAUAAUAUAUUAAUAUUAAUCAUAAACAUACUAUUCUCAAAAGAUUAUCCAUAUAAAUUGUGUCGGUGAAGUGCAACCCAAAUGGACCAUGCCGGGUCGGGUCAAGUACAUACCAAAUAUAGUUAUGGACUUAGACAUUAAUCCAACAGUCUCCCACUUGGAUAAGUCUAAAACUAUUAUUGCGUAUGACUUCAAACCUAACUGGCAAUCGUAGCUCUUAAAGCUGCUGUCGAACUCUGAUCUUGUCAACGAACUUGUCCAUUAGAUAAGGGAUCAUAUAUUCCUCCAUUCUAGAUAUCAUAUGGACUGAGACAUGGAUUAUAAUCAUUCUCUCUGUCCAUUUGUUGUUUCCCGAUUUCCGAUUUAUGACGACUGACUAAUUGAACAAAUCAAAUCAGUCCUGGCCCGGCCGAGCACUUCCAUUUGUCAUCAUCAAAUCAUCGAGGGGCCCACAGAUAUCGCUUUUAUCCCGAAGGUAAAAGGAAUGGAUAAACUUCGACUCAUAUGGCUUGUUCUACUACUUGUUGAAUCAUACACAAAGGCACGUUUUAUAGCACCGAGUUACCAAAUGCGUUUUCGUGCAAUCAAUGUACAACCAACUCAUAGUAACAACUCAUAUCUCUAGGUUUGAAGAAUAUAAGAUAUUAUCGUCUCAUGAUCACUCGUGAUAAAAUCCAUGAAGUGAUUCCAAUGAGCGCGGGUUGAAUCCAAUACUCAGAACUUAUGAGCACUCAUGAGUGUUGUAGCCCUUUGUCCAACACCUUAGACCUCUACAAGCCAACCCAUGACAGUCUUAAUUCAUAUCUACUUCCAACAUAUGACCGACUGUGGAUGGUUUGAAUAACUUAGUCAUUCCGGAAGAAUAACCUAGUUUAUUCGGGAAGUCAAAACAUGCAAAGUGAAACACAAUAAUAAUUGAAUCCAAUAUGGUAUCAACCCUUUGAACAUAAAUAAAACACCUUUUAUUUAUCACCAUAUGAUUACACAUUAUUCAUUGUAUACUGUUUCAGCUAUCAACUUUAUUCUUGAAUUUAAAACAAUAGUUGUCCCAUGCUCCAAGCAUGUACACUAUGUUUUCUUAAACACUAGUCAUGCCACACACCAAGUAUGCAUACUAUGUUUGUCUAUGAUCUUUACUUUGUGAACUAGAUCAAUUGAACAUAACUUCAAUGAUUCUCUUUUCACACUCCCAAAUCCUUACUGCAAAUGCAAGAAUUCCAAAUUCAUGCCAUUUACUGAAAUCUGUUAGAUUCUAAACUUAUAUGCAUUGAUCCUCUUGUAAUGAUUAUGCACAAAGUCACAAAGACUUGGCAACAAUCAUUACAGAGUAUUCCAAAGGAGAUCAACUCCUUGGAAAUAUCCUUCUUGCAUUAAGUUUCCUUAAUCUUACACAGAUUGAAAAUUCUAACUUUGAAACAUUUCCAGAUUCCAUUUUGACUAUCACUUCUGAACAAGAGUUGCCUCCUUACAGAUUAUGUCAAUAUGGUCCUUCCAGAAUUAUCACUAUACUUCCAAUUGUCCUUGAGUAACCAAUCUUUGGUAAACCUUAGAUUGUCCUCGACAAUUGUUUAAUCCUUUUAGUCAUAUCCAGUUCUAAACCUUUUCCCUUCUUAAUGCCCCAGGCAUUUGGAAAAUUUUAGAACGGAUGAAUAUAGCACAUGUAAUCGAUCCUAUAUCCGAAGCAUAUGGGACACGAUUCAUGAUGUCUUACAUAAAGACUAAACCAGUCUUUUGCUAUAAUAUUUCCAUUUCAAUUUGCCAAGUUCUCAUAAUUCAGAUUAUGAAAAGGGAUGCCGUAAUCAUAAUCGAAUUUUAGAACGCAAAUAAUGGACCCAUAUACAGAAUUUCCUUAUGUUGAGCCAUUCCAACAUGAAAUUCAUAUAUAUCCUUGACUAAAUGAUUAAAACCUCACGAUCUAAGCUUAUAGAUUUGAGAUGAAGCAUAAUUUCCUCUCCCUUAAUUAUAGCAAAACAACUUUUUCCCAAUUGAAACUUUUGUUUUCUAUAAUUAACAUUGCUAACUUGCAAUACUUAUCAUAAUUAUCAUGCUCCCACUAACAUGAUGAUUAUUAGCAUAACACUUAUGCUCCCACUAGCUUUGACAUGUACUCAGAAAUCAGCUGGACAGUCUGAAAUUUAGAUUCAUACACCCUUUCCGUAGAUAGCUCACCUGUGUGUCUAAGCAAUUUCAAGAACCAUGAAAAGGGAUACCGUAAUCAUGGUCUCAAUUGCUUAGGCAUUUGCCAUUUCUCACAAGUCCAUGUUAGUGUGCCGGUUAACCACACGCGCUCCACUAACGACUUUUGAAAAUGCAAAUAACACAAUUGAUAUCUUCGUAAAAUCUACUUAGUGAAAGCGUUUCCUCACCAUCAUUUUCAUGAAUCGGAGAGAAACCUUAUGACACUUAGAUUUAUAUGGUGUAUGAGUUCCUACCCAUAUGAAUUUGUCAAACCAUAAUCACAAGACAAAGAUAAUGACAAAUCCAAAACCAUAUGGAUUGAACUCAAUCUUAACUUCUUGCCACCUGGCAGCUCAAGGGCCUGCCAUUGCUUCCAAGUUGUUGUGCAACAAAUUGAGAACUCUAAGAACUCAUAUGCAAAACCAACUUUAACUGGAAUGGGCACAGAAUAUGUCAACACGAUAGGUUAUGAACCUCAAGUCGUGUGCUAGUGAAGAACUUUAGGUUUUAUUCUUGAUUAUUUCUUGAGACUUUCAAGACCUUUAAGACUCCCACUGUCCUCUUGACAUAUAAGACUCCCUUGUCAAACAUCCAAGAGAUAGUGCGGAUUCUAAUCAAGAAAAACACUUUACCCAAUUGGCCUAAGUUGGUCUUUGUUUUAUCCAAAACAUCACAACUUACCAAUUUCAAAUGUACAAGAGUAGAAAACUUUUACUCUUACAUUUGACAAGUGUUUUAAACCUUCUUUAAGACAUGUCACUCAAAUGACAAUCUUGGAGUAUGACUCUAAGACUUGUAUUGGAACGAAGUAUGACUCAUCUUCUUGAUUUAACCAUUUCAACAAUUCAAGUUCCUCUUCUUAGUCAUAAGAAUGCACUAAGAUUUCCUUAGAGAACUAAUUUUGAUAUGGUUUCUUAAUCAUUAAGAUGAUCACAAAACUGAUACUAAAGUACUCUCCCAUCUUUUCAGAUUUGAGAAACUUUUAUCCUUCUGCCUUAUUUGAUUCUUCUUAUCGAUCUUUAGUGGUGGACUUAAUCAGUGCACAAGAAUGUGUACUCGAUCCCUAAGUCCUUUACUUGACUCACACAUCCAUGUGAACAAGUAAUUAGUCUUAAUUUUCCAAAACUUGAAAGUUCUCAUUCAUCAUGCUAUACAACUUGCAUGAUUCCAAGUUCCGGUCCAAUUGAAACUUGGGUGAUGAGAAUCUUUCCUUAUUUGGUAAAUUUAGACAUUACCACAAAUGAAAGAAUCAAUUUCAUACUUCCACUCUUGCUACUAAUGGAAUCUUAUAAGCAACAAAAAUUUCCACAGAUGCCAUUGUAAGGAUAUUUUAAAAUAAAUAAAAUCAAAAAUUUCCUUUUAUUUUAAAACUUUGCGGAAAAACUAUCCUUACAAUCCAUAUGAAAACUUGUUGUUAUCUAUUCCUAAGCAAUAUCUCAUAACUCCUAAGAAGUAGCUCAAGAAUCCGAUUUUUCAAACUAUGCGAUAGAAAUCCAUCUAUGCGAUCAGAUUCAGCAUAUUCUUCCUUUAAGUUUCUUCACUUUCCUUUGAUUCUUAAACCAUCACCAUGCGACCCGGUCACAUCAUGUAUCAAGAAUCUCAGAAUAGAAACUUAACAGAGUUAGAUAGUGGAUUUUACCUGAAGUAGAGUCAAACUUAUUGACUUUAACAUCCUUAGGUAAAUUUGGCAGCUUCGCAACCAAUGCCCUUUCUUUGGCAAUACAAACAUAUGGACCCUUUGAUAAUGGUACACAGGACUAUCACAGACUUAGCUUUUCUCUUUACCAUUUGGUCAACCGAGUUGACUAUAGCCGAUCCCUUUCCAUUGGGAAGAGAAUGCUUUACUGGAUAUCCAAUGUCAUCAUUGUCAAUGUCCAUAAAGUUUUAGGAAGUUGAUCUUAGCAAAUAGAUAAGAUCAUUAAGGGUCUUGUCAUAGUCUGUUUCAUAGGUGUCCCAAAGGAACUCACUAUGUGACUUAGAAAGUGGUUGAACCACCAACUUUCUCAAGACUUUGACACCCAACUCUCCCGGCUUGUCAAUAUGUGACUACAUCUCCAAGAUGUGACCACACCUAGACCUUGCCUUGCCAAUAGGGCCUGAGUGACCUUAAACUUUUCAAGAACUUGUGGGUUAGGGAGAAUAAUUUGAAGAGGUGAAGAAGUAUGAUAUCCAUGGGACAUCAUCUUCAUUAGGAAACCUUGUUUCAAGAGAUUUGGGAAGAUCAUAGGUGUCUAAACCAGACAUCUUUUGGGAGAUAUUCAAGAUAGUUGAUUUAAAGUCCUUAAUAUGACACCCAAUAUGAAAUAUUAAGGCUAGGACCCAACAAACUAUUUUAUAACUUAGAAGAGGUAUGCCGUAAUCCAAGCUAUAAAAUAUUUGAAGGUAGGUGAAUGACGAUUCACCAAUUUCCACCAAGAUAAACGAAAUGUAUUAUUAGGUUUUAAUUGGUUUUGAAACUCCUAGAUCUUUGAGAUUCAUUGAACUUUUCAAAGGCAUGUUUCAAUCUCGAGUGUGCCCUUCAGGUUUUGUGACUGGGAUGCCGAGGAUCACAAAACAAGGUGUGAAGUAACCAUGCAAAUCACUUGGUACCCUUAAUAAAUUACCCCUCAAUCGAUGUGCCGGUUAACCACACACGCUCCAUCGAUACUAUGAUAAAUAUUAAGUCACCCUUUACCUACCUUGUUAAGUCCAAGUUAGUGUGCCGGUUAACCACACACGCUCCACUAACGACUUAGACAAAGUGUAAAGUGUAAUUUCAUGGAUUAGCACCUUAUUCACAUUUUUCCUAAGUAACUAAGAUUGGGUAUUAUUAAGAGUUUAGUUACUUAGUAUUAUCAUUAAUACUUUUAAUGAAGGGAGAAUUCUAGUCCUGUCAAACCCGUUCGGCUAACGACCCUCCACCAGUCAAGCAAGCGGUGGGUGAGAGUGGACACCCAUUAAGUUGCCAUUUUAUAGGCAACAACCUUAUACCCACCUUAUAGACCGGCUUCGUGAAUGAGGCGUACUAGCGGUAAGACUGACUUUACUCUUAUACAUAUAUAUAUUAUUAACUUAUAAUAUUAUAAAGUAUAAGGGUUGAAUUUUAACUUUUAAAAUUCUAAGGGCUAACUUGGAAUUAAAGUAUUCAUAAGUGAAAACUUUACAAAUUCCAAAACUUGAGGGCAAGUUUUGAAACUAUUCAAAACUAAUUAAUUCCAUAACUUAUGUGUUUAAAGUAGUUUUAAUCCAAAAACUCUUCAAGUUCCAUAACUUGAGGACAAGUUAUGGAAGACUUUAAACUAAUAAAAGAAUUAACUUUUCUUUAUUUUAUAACUUAUGGAAUUAAUUAAGGUUACACCUUUUUUUAUUUUAUUUUAUUUUAUUAAAUGAAGAGACUCUUGGUCCUCCAUAACUUGAGGACAAGUUAUGGAGUCAUAAAACCAUUUAAUUAGAACUAGACUCUUCAUUUUUGUAACCUUUGCCAAUUUUUAUGAGUUUUAUGAUUCUUAAAUGUGACUUUUCAUAUAACUUGAGGACAAGUUACAAAAACACAUUUUAGAAUCAAUUCUUAGAUUAAUUUGGAUUAAAACCAACUAUCACAUAAUUUUAUUCAUUAAUCUAAAUUCACUCAUAAAACAAGGUAACACAAAAAACUUUUGGUGAUCCAUAACUUAUUCUUAAGUUAUGGAAUCCUUUAAAACAUUAACACCAAAUUUUGUAACUCCAAAAAAACUUUGAAUCAAUUUUUUUUUUAAAACCUUUUCAUAUCCAUAACUUAUGGAGGUUUCAAAAAAUAAAACUCUUUAGAUCAAACUUUUAAAACUAAUAAAAUAAUCAUAUUAUUUUAUCUUUUAUUAAAUUUGACCUAAUUCAACUCAUAAAGCAAAUUAUUCAAAUUUUACAAAUAAUUAGUUUUUCACAAGAACAAGUAAUUAUCUUAAAAUUUGACGAACUUCAUGUUUUUUUUUUUUUUUUUUUUUCAACUUUGAAAAUAAAAUAUUUGCAUCAAUAUAACAGAAAACAACCCGUGGCUCUGAUACCACUGUUGGGUUUUGAGCAUUCUAACACUUCCUAAGUGUACAUGCAACCCUAAAUACCUUGGAUCUAUGUUUUCUCUAUUAUACAUGCAAAUAA
This 15705-nucleotide long non-coding RNA is filed under the name Lactuca sativa (garden lettuce). RNAcentral's name for it is "long non-coding RNA (LSAT_LNC001485)". The record is from RNAcentral. Lineage: Eukaryota; Viridiplantae; Streptophyta; Magnoliopsida; Asterales; Asteraceae.